UGGGGAAUAUUGGACAAUGGGCGCAAGCCUGAUCCAGCAAUGCCGCGUGUGUGAAGAAGGCCUUCGGGUUGUAAAGCACUUUUAUCAGGAGCGAAACGCUGUCGGCUAAUACCCGGCGGAACUGACGGUACCUGAGGAAUAAGCACCGGCUAACUUCGUGCCAGCAGCCGCGGUAAUCGAAGGGUGCAAGCGUUAAUCGGAAUUACUGGGCGUAAAGCGUGCGUAGGCGGUUUCUUAAGUCUGCUGUGAAAUCCCCGGGCUCAACCUGGGAAUGGCAGUGGAUACUGGGAGGCUAGAGUGUGUCAGAGGGUGGUGAAUUCCCGGUGUAGCGGUGAAAUGCGUAGAGAUCGGGAGGAACAUCAGU
RNAcentral lists this ribosomal RNA (364 nucleotides) under uncultured bacterium. RNAcentral's name for it is "partial 16S ribosomal RNA". It matches the Rfam family "Bacterial small subunit ribosomal RNA", at positions 355 to 713 of the family's 1533-position model. The record is from RNAcentral.